AGUAGACGGUGUUACAAGUCAGAUGUGAAAACUCAGGGCUCAACCUUGAGACUGCAUCUGAAACUGUAAUACUAGAGUGCAGGAGAGGAAAGUGGAAUUCCUAGUGUAGCGGUGAAAUGCGUAGAUAUUAGGAGGAACACCAGUGGCGAAGGCGACUUUCUGGACUGUAACUGACGUUGAGGCGCGAAAGUGUGGGGAGCAAACAGGAUUAGAUACCCUGGUAGUCCACACCGUAAACGAUGGAUACUAGGUGUAGGCACGCAAGUGUCUGUGCCGUCGCAAACGCAAUAAGUAUCCCACCUGGGGAGUACGGCCGCAAGGUUGAAACUCAAAGAAAUUGACGGGGGCCCGCACAAGCAGUGGAGUAUGUGGUUUAAUUCGACGCAACGCGAAGAACCUUACCAAGACUUGACAUAUAUUCGAAUAUUUAAGAAAUUAGAUAGUUCUUCGGAACGGAUAUACAGGUGAUGCACGGUUGUCGUCAGCUCGUGUCGUGAGAUGUUGGGUUAAGUCCCGCAACGAGCGCAACCCUCGUGACUAGUUGCUGCCAAGCAGAACUCUAGUCAGACUGCCGUAGUUAAUACGGAGGAAGGUGAGGAUGACGUCAAAUCAUCAUGUCCCUUAUGUCUUGGGCUACACACGUACUACAAUGACUACUACAAAGAGAAGCAAUACCGCGAGGUGGAGCAAAACUGAUAAAAGUAGUCCUAGUUCGGAUUGGAGGCUGCAACUCGCCUCCAUGAAGCUGGAAUUGCUAGUAAUCACAGGUCAGCAUACUGUGGUGAAUACGUUCCCGGGCCUUGUACACACCGCCCGUCACACCAUGAGAGUUGAGAAUACCCGAAGCCCAUGUAACAGUGGUCGAAGGUAGGCUUGAUGAUUGGGGUGAAGUCGUAACAAGGUAACC
RNAcentral lists this ribosomal RNA (907 nucleotides) under uncultured bacterium. RNAcentral's name for it is "bacterial SSU rRNA". It matches the Rfam family "Bacterial small subunit ribosomal RNA", at positions 570 to 1501 of the family's 1533-position model. The record is from RNAcentral.